RNAcentral lists this ribosomal RNA (1745 nucleotides) under uncultured archaeon. RNAcentral describes it as "16S ribosomal RNA". It matches the Rfam family "Archaeal small subunit ribosomal RNA". The record is from RNAcentral.
CUGGUUGAUCCUGCCGGAGAUUAUCGCUGUUAGAGUUCCACUAACCCAUGCGAGUUCCUGGGUAAAACCAGAGCAAACGGCUGAGUAACACGUAGUUAACAUACCUUUGGGUGGAGAAUAACCUCGGGAAACUGAGACUAAUACUCCAUAGGCAAUAGCGCCUGGAAUGGUUUAUUGCCGAAAGCUUCGGCGCCCAAAGAUUGGACUGCGGUGGAUUAGGUUGAUGUCAGGGUAACGACCUGACAUGCCGAUAAUCCGUAGGGGCCAUGAAAGUGGUAGCCUCCAGAUGGAUUCUGAGACACGAAUCCAGGCCCUAUGGGGCGCAGCAGGGGGGAAAACUCCGCAAUGCACGAAAGUGUGACGGGGGAACUCUAAGUGCCAGCACACAGUGUUGGCUUUUCACUAGUCCAAAUCGCUAGUGGAAUAAGUGGGGGGUAAGACCGUUGCCAGCCGCCGCGGUAAUAACGGCUCCACAAGUGAUAGUCACGUAUAUUGGGUCUAAAGCAUUCGUAGCCGGCCUGUUAAGUCUUCUGUGAAAUCUGGCGGAAAACCGUCAGGCGUGCAGGAGAUACUGACGGGCUUGGGACUGGAAGGGGCUAGGGGUACUUUUGGGGUAGGGGUAAAAUUUCGCAAAGCAAGCUUUGCAUCAUCGUAAAUCGCUUCGCGAAUUACGAUCCUGUAAUCCCAAAGGGACCACCUGUGGCGAAGGCGCCUAGCUAGAACGGAUCCGACGGUGAGGAAUGAAAGCGUGGGGAGCAAAGGGGAUUAGAUAUGGGAAGAUGCGCGAAUGUUGUGUAUACUUAGAUACAAAAUCGCGUUUUCUCACUAAACACCCCCGUAGUCCACGCUGUAAACGAUGCCCGCUUGGUAUUGGAAAUUCCUAGUGUUUUUCCAGUGCCGUAGGGAAGCCAUUGAGCGGGCCACCUGGGAAGUACAGUCGCAAGGCUGAAGCUUAAAGGAAUUGGCGGGGGAGCACACAAGGGGUGCGGUUUGCGGUUCAAUUGGAUUCAACGCCGGGAACCUCACACAGGGGUGACAGCAGUAUGAUGGUCAGUCUAACGGGCUUACCUGACGCGCUGAGAGGUAUUGCAUGGCCGUCGUCAGCUCGUGCCGCGAGAGCUUUUACUAAGUCUUUCUUAAGAAAGGCUCCGGUAAAGGUGUCCUGUUAACAGGUUUUGAAAAUCUUAAACAGAUUUUCAAACUUUUUUGGCUUUCAAAAGCCAAAAAAUCGUGGUGCUAUGAGAUGAUUUUGUAUCGCCAUGUCGAAGCUUCGAUCAACCCUAAGUGUUAUUGCAAGAAAAAAUUAACGGUAUGCGAGAGAGUUUGCGUAAUACCCGUAAGGGUUUGGAUUAAUUAUCGAAGCUCUGAUUUUGAAACUCGAAAGAGUUUCAAUGCUUGGAAAUUCGCAAGAAUUUCUAAGACCUGACAGAUAGUCAGGUAACGAGCGAGACCCACGCCGUAUGUUGCCACAUGCUUCUUCGGAGGCAAGGCACUCAUACGGGACUGCCCGUGCUAAAUGGGAGGAAGGAGUGGUCAACGGUAGGUCAGUAUGGUCCGAAUCCCCUGGGCUACACGCGGGCGCCAAUGGCAAGGACAAUAGGUUGCAACGCCGAAAGGCGAAGCUAAUCCCUGAACCCUUGUCCCAGUACAGAUUGAGGGUUGCAACUCACCCUCAUGACGCCGGAAUCCCUAGUAGGCGAAAGUUAGCAUCUUUCGUCGAAUACGUCCCUGCUCCUUGCACACAC